AGUGAACGUUGGCGGUAGGCCUAACACAUGCAAGUCGAACGGCAGCACAGUAAGAUCUUGCUCUUACGGGUGACGAGUGGCGGACGGGUGAGGAAUACAUCGGUAUCUACUUUUUCGUGGGGCAUCACGUAGGGAAACUUUCGCUAAUACGGCCAUCGCCCUACGGGUGUAAGCAUGGGAUCUUCGGCCCCUGCGCGCUUGUAUGAGCCUAUGCCGGAUUAGCUAGCUGGCGGGUUAACGCCCCACCAGGGCGACGCUCCUUAGUUGGUCGGAGAGAAUGAUCCGCCACACUGUGACUGAGACACGGUACAGAAUCCUACGAGACGCAGCAGUGGGGAAGAUUGGACAAUGGGCGCAAGCCUGAUCAAGCCAUACCGCGUGGGUGAAGAAGGCCUUCGGGUUGUAAAGCCCUUUUGUUGGGAAAGAAAAGCAGCAGGUUAAGACCACGCUGUUCUGACGGUACCCAAAGAAUAAGCACCGGCUAACUUCGUG
RNAcentral lists this ribosomal RNA (492 nucleotides) under uncultured bacterium. Its description in RNAcentral is "partial 16S ribosomal RNA". It matches the Rfam family "Bacterial small subunit ribosomal RNA", at positions 29 to 507 of the family's 1533-position model. The record is from RNAcentral.